CUGAGUGGGAAAUAUGGUUAGCCUCUGUAGUAUCUAUGUGGAAGUCCUGACCUCGCUUGCAGACUUGACCUCUGGAGAAGGAAAGCUCUUCAUCUGAGAAAUGAGUUAGGUUCAUCUUCCUUGGACAUUCUAGCAUCCUUAACUUUCGGUCCAGCAAGCACAAGAGCUGAAUCAGCGAAUAGAGUGAACGAACACUCAGGAUGAGAUGGCUGCUGCUGAUGGGUCUGUCUCUCUAGGUCACUACCUCUCUUCCAACUGCAAAUGCUGCAUGAUACUAAGCUUACAGCCAUUCUUUUGAAAAUGUGUCUGUAAGACACUUUAGACAGAUUUUAAUACUUAAAAUCAUACAAUCUACAUUAGAAGAAAAGUAUUAAUUGAAUAAAAGCAGGAAAUUUUUAUUAGGAUGUAGUUUAUGAAAAACUAUUUUCCACUGGACUACGUACUUUUAGAACUCAGAAGCACAAACAAGUCACGAAAGAAUUCUGCUGAGAAGACCAAGAUGAAACCUUUCCAAUUACAGAAAUACACUCUGCAAAACUUCAUCAGGUCAAUGAAUCAUACAAAGGUGGCCAAACCAGGAAGAAGAGCAACAGAGUCUGGAAUGACUAUGUCCAGCAAGGACAAUGAAGUGUAGUAAGCCUUAAUGCCAAAUCUGCAGGUAAUAAAUCACCAAGAGGGAAGACGGGAAGAAGCAACAUUUCUUUUGGAAUGACCUUCAUGUGGCAAAUUAAGCUGGCAAGAAAGAGGACUUUGUUUUGAAAACUGCCACAAUAAAAUAUGAAACAAAAUAUGCCAUUCCAAAAACAGUUUGUAUUUAUGUGAAGGAAGAAAGAUUUCUUUUAAGAAAAAGGUAAAGAAAAGUAUGAAUAUUUUGGUUCACUUUCUUCCAUUUUAAAGCAUGCUUUCUCAAUUUAAAUACUUUUUUAAAACAAAAAAAGAUUCAGUGAUUCAGGUGACUAAAACUUGAGAACAAAAAAAAAAAAAGAGAAAGUCAUCUUAGCACAAAAAGAAAAAAAUGUCUUACUUUUAAAUCUGGUAUCUACUAAUAAUGUUUUGAUUCAAUUAUUACAUUUUAAUUUAGGUAUGUCAUAAUAAAUUUUUUUGAUUUUUUGGUCAAAUUCUAGCAUACAAAAGAAAGGUUUACUUAUUCAAAAUUUUUAGCAAAAUGCUUGAAAUAAAAAUAGCUGCUGAAAUUGACCUAUAGACA
Sarcophilus harrisii (Tasmanian devil) is the source of this 1207-nucleotide long non-coding RNA. RefSeq lists it as uncharacterized. Lineage: Eukaryota; Metazoa; Chordata; Mammalia; Dasyuromorphia; Dasyuridae. The record is from RefSeq and is a predicted model, not a curated record. The transcript is spliced from 5 exons.